This 497-nucleotide ribosomal RNA is filed under the name uncultured bacterium. RNAcentral's name for it is "partial 16S ribosomal RNA". It matches the Rfam family "Bacterial small subunit ribosomal RNA", at positions 28 to 507 of the family's 1533-position model. The record is from RNAcentral.
GACGAACGCUGGCGGCGUGCCUAAUACAUGCAAGUUGAGCGCUGAAGGUUGGUACUUGUACCAACUGGAUGAGCAGCGAACGGGUGAGUAACGCGUGGGGAAUCUGCCUUUGAGCGGGGGACAACAUUUGGAAACGAAUGCUAAUACCGCAUAAAAACUUUAAACACAAGUUUUAAGUUUGAAAGAUGCAAUUGCAUCACUCAAAGAUGAUCCCGCGUUGUAUUAGCUAGUUGGUGAGGUAAAGGCUCACCAAGGCGAUGAUACAUAGCCGACCUGAGAGGGGGAUAGCCGCCAUUGGGACUGAGACACGGCCCAAACUCCUACGGGAGGCAGCAGUAGGGAAUCUUCGGCAAUGGACGAAAGUCUGACCGAGCAACGCCGCGUGAGUGAAGAAGGUUUUCGGAUCGUAAAACUCUGUUGGUAGAGAAGAACGUUGGUGAGAGUGGAAAGCUCAUCAAGUGACGGUAACUACCCAGAAAGGGACGGCUAACUACGUG